This 376-nucleotide unclassified non-coding RNA is filed under the name soil metagenome. RNAcentral's name for it is "partial contains 5.8S ribosomal RNA, internal transcribed spacer 2, and large subunit ribosomal RNA". The stretch from base 1 to 120 matches the Rfam family "5.8S ribosomal RNA", at positions 35 to 154 of the family's 154-position model. The record is from RNAcentral.
GAUGAAGAACGUAGCGAAAUGCGAUAAGUAAUGUGAAUUGCAGAAUUCAGCGAAUCAUCGAAUCUUUGAACGCAUCUUGCGCUCCUUGGUAUUCUGAGGAGCAUGCCUGUUUGAGUGUCAUUAAAUUCUCAACUACACUGACUUUGAAUUGGUGUGGCUUGGAUUUGGGGGGAAAAUUGUUGUGGGCUUUUUGUAUAGUCUGCUCCCCUGAAAUUGAUUAGCGGUACCUUUGUGGAACUGUCUACAGGUGUGAUAAUUAUCUACAUCUUAGACAUCUGCUGGAAUGCUGCUUUCUAAACCUUACUUGUAUUGACAAUCUUGACCUCAAAUCAGGUAGGACUACCCGCUGAACUUAAGCAUAUCAAUAAGCGGAGGA